GCUGUGGAAACCUCCUUGAUUGGUGGUAGAAGCGCUUCCGCAUUCAACACAUGCAUAUGCCCCUGUCCGUGGAGGUUACUGUGAACAAAACAGCGUGUCCAAAGCAACCACAUGUCUGGCUGAAUGAUCUAGCAUGGAUAACAAGGCAUCGACCACUGGAGUCAGCCUUUUUGUUGGUUUUACAUGACCCAGUUGGGCAAUGCAGGGCUUGUGCUUCAUUGAGGUUCUUAGUCAGCUCUACCGAACUGUCUUCCCUCAGUUGGACCUUGUUCCCUAUCGGGAUCAAUGGAAGCCAUCGGGGUGGUAUGUAUUCCGACGUGAGCGGUGAAAUGCUUAGACCGUUGGAAGACAAACGACAGCGAAGGCAUUCCGCCAGAAUGUUUUCAUUAAUCAAGAACGAGAGUGUGGGGAUCGAAGAUGAUCAGAUACCAUCGUAGUCCAUUACCGUAAACUAUGCCAACUCGGCAUUGGGAGUCUGUUCACUUUGAAGACUCUCCCAGCAUCAUCCCCCAAUAACGAGAAAUCCAAGUCUAUGGGUUCAGGGGGGAGUACAGUCGCAAGGCUGAAACUUAAAGGAAUUGACGGAAUGACACCACAAGGCGUGGAGUAUGCGGCUUAAUUUGACUCAACACGGGGAAGCUUACCAGGUCAGACACAGUAAGGAUUGACAGAUUGAGAGCUCUUUCUUGAUCCUAUGGAUGGUGGUGCAUGGCCGUUUCUGGUUCGUGGAGUGAUCUGUCUGCUUAAUUGCGAUAACGAACGAGAUCUCUACCUCUAAAUAGGCGCCGGUCUCGCAUGUAAGUAGGGAUGUGUUGGGGGCCUUCGUGUCCCCUCAUGUCCUGAGAGUGCCGGGAUCGCUUCUUAGACGGACUGUGCAUGUCUUUAAUGCACGGAAGAGGGAGUCAAUAGCAGGUCUGUGAUGCUCCUAGAUGUUCUGGGCUGCACGCGCACUACACUGGCACAGUAAACGAGUUGCACCUGCUUCGGCAGUCCUGCUUAGAAGUGAGCGUGGGAAAUCUUAGAAAACUGUGCCGUGCUGGGGAUAGAUGAUUGCGAUUAUUUGUCUUGAACGAGGAAUGCCUAGUAGAGGUACUUCAUCAGAGUACCUUGAUUGUGUCCCUGCCAUUUGUACACACCGCCCGUCGUUGCUACCGAUUGGCUGUAAAAUAGAGGCCUUAAGAGUCGCUUCCGCAAAGCUUUGCUUUUGAGGUUGUGACAAAUCUGGCCAAUAUUUCAUUGCUAGAGGAAGCAAAAGUCGUAACAAGG
Molecule: ribosomal RNA, 1266 nt
Filed under: metagenome
Description: bacterial SSU rRNA
Rfam family: Eukaryotic small subunit ribosomal RNA
Source: RNAcentral